RNAcentral lists this ribosomal RNA (328 nucleotides) under Anoxybacteroides voinovskiense. RNAcentral describes it as "bacterial SSU rRNA". It matches the Rfam family "Bacterial small subunit ribosomal RNA", at positions 1 to 317 of the family's 1533-position model. The record is from RNAcentral. Lineage: Bacteria; Bacillati; Bacillota; Bacilli; Caryophanales; Anoxybacillaceae.
UCUAUGGAGAGUUUGAUCCUGGCUCAGGACGAACGCUGGCGGCGUGCCUAAUACAUGCAAGUCGAGCGGAUCGAAAAGAAGCUUGCUUCUAUUCGGUUAGCGGCGGACGGGUGAGUAACACGUGGGCAACCUGCCCGUAAGACCGGGAUAACUUCGGGAAACCGGAGCUAAUACCGGAUAACACCGAAGACCGCAUGGUCUUUGGUUGAAAGGCGGCUUAGGCUGUCACUUACGGAUGGGCCCGCGGCGCAUUAGCUAGUUGGUGAGGUAACGGCUCACCAAGGCGACGAUGCGUAGCCGACCUGAGAGGGUGAUCGGCCACACUGGG